UCUAAGGACAGCUGUGACGCAACCC
Molecule: non-coding RNA, 25 nt
Filed under: Cricetulus griseus (Chinese hamster)
Lineage: Eukaryota; Metazoa; Chordata; Mammalia; Rodentia; Cricetidae
Source: RNAcentral